This is a long non-coding RNA of Solanum tuberosum (potato), 2228 nucleotides long. RefSeq lists it as uncharacterized. The record is from RefSeq and is a predicted model, not a curated record. The transcript is spliced from 7 exons. Lineage: Eukaryota; Viridiplantae; Streptophyta; Magnoliopsida; Solanales; Solanaceae.
UAGUAAAUAAACAAAAAGAAAGAAUAUCUGAAAAGUGGAAAGGAAAUUAUAGAUUAGGACAAAAUUCAGGGUCCUUCUUGAGACAGCUUGUAGGAGCUGUUGUCAUCCUUUGAUCUCGGAACAUCAAGAAAUCCAUAAGCAAGGAUCUUCUCUGCUCCUAUUCCUCUGUGCAGCUGGGUAUUCUAAAUGUGGCUGGAGGAAUCCAUGAGCAAGGAUUGUCUCUGCUCAAUCUUGAGGUAAAUUAUUUAGGCCUUGGAAGCAACAAUCUCACAGGUUGUACCCCAUCUUGGAUAUAACUUUUGGUCUCUUUGAGGUCUUUCCCUUGCAAUAAACAAUCUACAAGGACCAAUACCUCGAGAUAUUGGACGUUUGUCAAACUUGCAAAUCUUCCAAGUUCAUCGAAAUCUGUAUGCUUCCAGGUGAGGAUUUUUUAGUGAUUGCAUGAAUCUGCUGACAUAUCCUAACAGAGAAGGUAAUAUCGAGUCUUGUAAUGGUCAAAUGUAGAGGACUUCCAGCAAGAGCUUGAAAAGGUUUGGGAUCUGCAAGAAGAUGUAGGUUUAUGGUUAGAAGAGAAAUAAAGCUUGGUAGCUAUCAUCAAUUUUUCAAAGAAAAUGGUGUUAUUUGGAGGGGGUGUCCAGGUUACAGAUUCUCCGGUUUAUAAGAAGGUGCCACAUGAAAUGGGGAGACUUCAUUACGUUGUGUAAGGAGCUGAGGCGGAUAAAAGACAUAUUUUGUGAGCUAGUCUUGAUCGUCAAGCACUGUUGACAUUCUCUAAAACUCUCUACCUUAGUAAAUCUAAACAGAUUUGUAAAUUGUUGCUAGUGAGAUACUUUAUUUUUUGAGAUAAUUGGUAAAGUUGCUACCAUGUGACCACGAGGUCACAUGUUCGAGAUGUGGAAACAACCUUGCAGAAGUGCUGGGUAAGGCUAUGUACUAUAUUGUUGUGGUCUGGCCCUUCCCCGGGCAGCCAUUAUGACGGAAAGCUAUUGAGAUACUUCAGUGAAUCUGUUGUUGCUAUUUAGGAAUGAAGUUACUGCUAUUCUUUUACUAUAUCCUAAUGUCCUAUAGUUCCUGUUAUCUAUAUUAACUCAAUUCAUGUCUUCAGUGGCUUACUUGAAGGGCUGUGCAAAGAGUCCGGCGACCAUAGUGGUCCCCGUCUUGUAUCUCCGUAGUGUUUAAGAAGACAGCCAAUCGUAACAGGCAGUGUAGAGUGGUUUCACUGAAGCUGGAACCCUAGACACCCAUUACGCCAUUACGCCAUCUGUGCGCAUUAUUAAUAAUUAUAUAUCCAGAGGAGAGUAGUGGAAAUUCGCUCCCCGUCUGUUGUUAUUUCCUUUGUAAUCCAGUAUAUGGAACUUCUGACGCAUCUAUUUGUGUCAAGGGUCCUAGAUAUGUAACUGCCCCCCCCCCCCCCUCUUCUGCCCAAGCCUUUUAUGUAUACGUAACUUUGUAGUCUUUACAUUUUUAGUUUGUGAUGUUUAUAGUAUCAAAUCAAGAAAAUAGAUGACUUGUGUAAAUUUCAAGUUUCUAAACUUGAAUUGUAAGUUGCACUAGACAAGCCCUGCCUUCCAGAUUGAAUGUACGUUAACUCCACUCAAUUUUGUGGGAAUAUUCAUGGUGAUCUUUUAGUAUUUUCUAUCCGCAUCCCUUGCUUGAACCUUUUACAUUUAACAAAUUUUACAGGCGGAUGGCUUCAUAAUAAUCUCCAAAAUUUUCUGAUCGGAGCUAGAACCAUGUUGUUCGGAACCAUAUCAAUGAAAGGAGGCUUUGAAGGAACAUGCACUUCUAUAUAAGUUUUCUUGUGUUUUCUCAUCCUUUAAAUUGAGGCUGAAUUAGUUUACAUUUCGGUGAUGGGCCAUGGAGGAAGCAACAAUGUUCUUUGCCUCAAGUUCGGACAAAAAAUGGAUGAAUAUCACCCAUAUAUAACGUUGUACUUAAGGUGGCUUCAUGAGAGCCAAGAAGAUACUAACAUGAUAGAAGAGGAAGUGUCGUUGGAAAGUUGGGAGGGGUGAAAAACGUUUGUUGGUUCUGCAAGUUUGACAUUUAGUUGUAUUGACAUAUGGCUUCAAAUGUACAUCAGAAAUUGAAAUAGACUAGUUGGUUUUCUUUCAAGUGAAGGGUUCAAGAGAAGAAAAAGGAUAAAAAGAAAAUUUCCAGUCACAAACAUGCAAGUGUUUAUAUGUAUUCAACAUUUUGUACUUUCUUUUAAAUGGUUUUUGUUUUGUAGA